Molecule: transfer RNA, 72 nt
Filed under: Neotoma lepida (desert woodrat)
Lineage: Eukaryota; Metazoa; Chordata; Mammalia; Rodentia; Cricetidae
Rfam family: tRNA
About the family: Transfer RNA (tRNA) molecules are approximately 80 nucleotides in length.
Source: Rfam by way of RNAcentral
GGGGGGGUGGCUCAGUGGUUAGAAUGCUUGCCUAGCAUGCAGGAAGCCCUGGGUUCCAUCCCCAGCACCCCA